This 90-nucleotide transfer RNA is filed under the name Apaloderma vittatum (bar-tailed trogon). It matches the Rfam family "tRNA". From Rfam's summary of the family: Transfer RNA (tRNA) molecules are approximately 80 nucleotides in length. Their secondary structure includes four short double-helical elements and three loops (D, anti-codon, and T loops). The record is from Rfam by way of RNAcentral. Lineage: Eukaryota; Metazoa; Chordata; Aves; Trogoniformes; Trogonidae.
GGCCGGUUAGCUCAGUGGGUUGAGCGCGGUGCUGACAACAAUGACAACACCGACAACACCGAGGUCGCGGGUUUGAUUCCCGCUCGGUCC